RNAcentral lists this ribosomal RNA (123 nucleotides) under Periophthalmus magnuspinnatus. Lineage: Eukaryota; Metazoa; Chordata; Actinopteri; Gobiiformes; Gobiidae. The record is from RNAcentral.
ACUUGUGGCAAAACUUCCUUGUCAAAGCCUGAUCUCCUCAGAUCUCAGAAGCUAAGCAAGGCUGGGCCUGGUUAGUACUUGGAUUGUAGACCGAUGUUGUUGUGUCCUUAGGCAAUACACUUC